Molecule: ribosomal RNA, 317 nt
Filed under: Morganella morganii
Lineage: Bacteria; Pseudomonadati; Pseudomonadota; Gammaproteobacteria; Enterobacterales; Morganellaceae
Description: bacterial SSU rRNA
Rfam family: Bacterial small subunit ribosomal RNA
Source: RNAcentral
GUCGGGCGGUAACAGGGAGAAGCUUGCUUCUCUGCUGACGAGCGGCGGACGGGUGAGUAAUGUAUGGGGAUCUGCCUGAUGGCGGGGGAUAACUACUGGAAACGGUAGCUAAUACCGCAUAAUGUCUACGGACCAAAGCGGGGGACCCCCGGGCCUCGCGCCAUCAGAUGAACCCAUAUGGGAUUAGCUUGUAGGUAAGGUAACGGCUUACCUAGGCGACGAUCCCUAGCUGGUCUGAGAGGAUGAUCAGCCACACUGGGACUGAGACACGGCCCAGACUCCUACGGGAGGCAGCAGUGGGGAAUAUUGCACAAUGG